CCUACGGGUGGGCAGCAGUGAGGAAUAUUGGUCAAUGGGCGCGAGCCUGAACCAGCCAAGUAGCGUGAAGGAUGACUGCCCUCCGGGUUGUAAACUUCUUUUCUAAAGGCAUAAAGUCAGGCACGUUUGCCUUUUUGUAUGUAUUUUCUGAAUAAGGCUCGGCUAACUCCGUGCCAGCAGCCGCGUUAAUCCGGAGGAUGCGAGCGUUAUCCGGAUUUAUUGGGUUUAAAGGGUGCGUAGGCGGGCUUUUAAGUCAGCGGUAAAAAUUCGGGGCUCAACCCCGUCCGGCCGUUGAAACUGGGGGCCUUGAGUGGGCGAGAAGAAGGCGGAAUGCGUGGUGUAGCGGUGAAAUGCAUAGAUAUCACGAAGAACCCCGAUUGCGAAGGCAGCUUACUAAACUGUGACUGACAUUGAUGCUCGAAAGUGUGGGUAUCAAACAGGAUUAGAUACCCGGGUAGUC
RNAcentral lists this ribosomal RNA (460 nucleotides) under uncultured bacterium. RNAcentral's name for it is "partial 16S ribosomal RNA". It matches the Rfam family "Bacterial small subunit ribosomal RNA", at positions 338 to 795 of the family's 1533-position model. The record is from RNAcentral.